GGGCCCUUAGCUCAAUUGAAUAGAGCAUCUGACUACGAAUUAGAAGGUUACAGGUUUGAGUCCUGUAGGGCCCA
Molecule: transfer RNA, 74 nt
Filed under: Caudoviricetes sp.
Lineage: Duplodnaviria; Heunggongvirae; Uroviricota; Caudoviricetes
Description: tRNA-Arg
Rfam family: tRNA
About the family: Transfer RNA (tRNA) molecules are approximately 80 nucleotides in length. Their secondary structure includes four short double-helical elements and three loops (D, anti-codon, and T loops).
Source: RNAcentral